UGUUCAUCAUGGUGAUCGAGUAGCCUUGUCUGAUGGUAUUAUUCUGUGAAAUUGUGUAUCUUCUACAGGAAAACAUGUGAUCGCCAGGUGUACUCCCAGGUAUCCAGGAUUGUUUUUCUCUUGCUCAUCAGGAACAUGAAACUAUAAAGGAGCCUUGGCCACAAAAAUCUCCAUAGUAGAAGAUUAUACUCAUUGAAAGAAGCUUUGAUUCUCAUGCAUCCUAAAGGAUCAAAUGAUAGAAGACUUGUGGGAUCACAAAUAAAAAUGUAUCACUGAAGGACCUAACAAAGGUAGGAUCCCUUAAAAGAAAUUAAGCAGAAUUUCAAGGAAUGGUUCUCCUCAUUGUGUUUUUCUAGCUGGGUUCCAUAGUAUAUGUGUUUCAUUUAUUCCAUCAUCUAAUUACAGUAAGACUGAUCUUUAUGUUUUCUGAUUUUAUCACUCCUACAUUAUGAGGAUAUUAACCAAGUUCAUCCUUAGUGGAUACUAAGUGAAGACACAAAGUCAUUUAUUAACAAGCAUGAAAUCAGUAUCCUCUAUUUCCUUGAUUUUAUGCUUCCAUAAAAAUAUAUUCUUUUAGGUUUUUAUUAGUGUAGAAUAUAU
RNAcentral lists this long non-coding RNA (600 nucleotides) under Felis catus (domestic cat). Its description in RNAcentral is "lncRNA (ENSFCAG00000042638.2)". Lineage: Eukaryota; Metazoa; Chordata; Mammalia; Carnivora; Felidae. The record is from RNAcentral.